This 429-nucleotide ribosomal RNA is filed under the name Chloroflexota bacterium. Its description in RNAcentral is "Chloroflexi bacterium partial 16S ribosomal RNA". It matches the Rfam family "Bacterial small subunit ribosomal RNA", at positions 355 to 776 of the family's 1533-position model. The record is from RNAcentral. Lineage: Bacteria; Bacillati; Chloroflexota.
UGGGGAAUAUUGCACAAUGGGCGCAAGCCUGAUGCAGCCAUGCCGCGUGUGUGAAGAAGGCCUUUGGGUUGUAAAGCACUUUCAGCGGGGAGGAAGGCGGUGAGGUUAAUAACCUCACCGAUUGACGUUACCCGCAGAAGAAGCAACGGCUAACUCCGUGACAGCAGCCGCGGUAAUACGGAGGGUGCAAGCGUUAAUCGGAAUUACUGGGCGUAAAGCGCACGCAGGCGGUCUGUCAAGUCGGAUGUGAAAUCCCCGGGCUCAACCUGGGAACUGCAUUCGAAACUGGCAGGCUAGAGUCUUGUAGAGGGGGGUAGAAUUCCAGGUGUAGCGGUGAAAUGCGUAGAGAUCUGGAGGAAUACCGGUGGCGAAGGCGGCCCCCUGGACGAAGACUGACGCUCAGGUGCGAAAGCGUGGGGAGCAAACAGG